AUUGAACGCUGGCGGCAUGCUUUACACAUGCAAGUCGAACGGCAGCGGGGAGGAGCUUGCUUCUCUGCCGGCGAGUGGCGAACGGGUGAGUAAUACAUCGGAACGUUUCGAGAAGAGGGGGAUAACCACCCGAAAGGGUGGCUAAUACCGCAUAAAUUCUGAGGAAGAAAGCUGGGGACCUGGGAAUAGGCCUAGCGCUUUUUGAGCGGCCGAUGUCGGAUUAGCUAGUUGGUGAGGUAAAGGCUCACCAAGGCGAAGAUCUGUAGCGGGUCUGAGAGGAUGAUCCGCCACACUGGGACUGAGACACGGCCCAGACUCCUACGGGAGGCAGCAGUGGGGAAUUUUGGACAAUGGGGGCAACCCUGAUCCAGCCAUGCCGCGUGUAUGAAGAAGGCCUUAGGGUUGUAAAGUACUUUUGUUAGGGAAGAAAAGUCAGCUGUGAAUAAUGGCUGAUACUGACGGUACCUAAAGAAUAAGCACCGGCUAACUACGUG
This 494-nucleotide ribosomal RNA is filed under the name uncultured bacterium. Its description in RNAcentral is "partial 16S ribosomal RNA". It matches the Rfam family "Bacterial small subunit ribosomal RNA", at positions 30 to 507 of the family's 1533-position model. The record is from RNAcentral.